This 64-nucleotide transfer RNA is filed under the name Cavia porcellus (domestic guinea pig). It matches the Rfam family "tRNA". Rfam says of the family: Transfer RNA (tRNA) molecules are approximately 80 nucleotides in length. Their secondary structure includes four short double-helical elements and three loops (D, anti-codon, and T loops). Further hydrogen bonds mediate the characteristic L-shaped molecular structure. tRNAs have two regions of fundamental functional importance: the anti-codon, which is responsible for specific mRNA codon recognition, and the 3' end, to which the tRNAs corresponding amino acid is attached (by aminoacyl-tRNA synthetases). tRNAs cope with the degeneracy of the genetic code in two manners: having more than one tRNA (with a specific anti-codon) for a particular amino acid; and 'wobble' base-pairing, i.e. permitting non-standard base-pairing at the 3rd anti-codon position. The record is from Rfam by way of RNAcentral. Lineage: Eukaryota; Metazoa; Chordata; Mammalia; Rodentia; Caviidae.
GGGGAUUUAGCUUGGUGGCAUAAGUGCCUGCCUUGCAAGUAGGUAGCCGUGAGUUCAAUCCCCG